CAAAGUAUGAAGUGAAGAAGAACAAAGAAAGAACAAAACCUAGGUGGGAAAAUUGAAGAAAAAGUGUGGGAUUUCAAGGGAUUAAGCUAAUAAAGGUCAAAUUUUGUGAUUUUAUCUUGUGAUUUACACUACCCAUGCUUUCUUUUUCAUUUUCCAUGCUUAGAACUCAAGUUUUCAUGAUGAACCCAUGCUGGCCAAAUUUGAGAGGAGAGGUUUUGAGCACUGAUUUUGCUAGAUUUCAAGUUAAUUAAGUGUUUUUGGUUGUUUAGUAAUGGAAAGUAUGAAAAUCUAGCAAGAAAUCACUUUGUUCUUCACAAACCCACAAGAGGCUGAAUUUUUUAGGGAGGAUAUUAAGGCUGAAAUUAAUGAUAUUUCAUGAUAUUUUGGUGGUAUUUAAUGAUUGGUGAGGCUAGAAAUUUAAUGGAAAAUUUUGGCAUGAAAAUCUGAAUUUUUACCUAAUGUAUAGACAUGUGCGAUUUAUGGUUCGGACUGAUAAAUUGAAUUAUAUUCACAGUCAUUGAGGUAUUCUAAGUAUAAUUGGAGUGUACAAAGUGAAAGAAAUCGAUUUGGAGUUAAAUUGGAGGUUUUAGCCAAUUAUACCGAGAAUAGUGCGAAUUAGGUCGAAUACCGUAUUUAAACGACUAUUCGAAUAUUUUUGCAUUCCAUAUCAUGUAUUAGUAGUCUAAAUUAGUUUAAUUUCAAUUUAGUACCAAUGUAGUAAGUUUCUCGAUUUUGUACUAUGUUUAGGUGGUGAAUCCUCCGAUAAAGGCAAGGAAAUUGUACUGGAGGAUCGAUAGUCAGAAUACUCUAGAAAUUUGACUCUCGAUGUAAAACUCGACCCUAUAAACACAUGUCAUGACAUACAUGCACUGAGUAGCAUGUUAUUACGCUAGGAAAGUCCUAAGAAUAGACGAAACCCGAUAUUAUACCUAAUGGUACACUUGAGUUUAUUUAACCUCGAACUAGUUCAAAUAGGAAUCGUUGGAUGAAAUUUAAUAUUUUACAGUCCAAGAAUGACUAAAAAUGAUUGUUUAGAGUUCGAGGGUUCAUUUGGAGAAAAAUAAAAAAUUUUGAUGUUUAGGGGCAAAAUCAUCAUUUUGCCACCUAAGAUAAUAAUUUGAUCAUGGAGUGAAAUUUUUGACCAAGAUUAACUAUUUGGAGUAUAAUUUAAUGAUAGGAAGUGAAAAAGUUUAAUUUUGGUGAUUUCUGGAGUGUAGGGGCAAAAUCGUAAUUUUGCCACUCGCGGAUAAAAUUUGAGAUUUUGAGAGAAUUUAGAUCAAAUUUGACAAAUUGGAGAAUGGUAUGAGUAUAAGGGAUGAAGAAUAUGUCUAUGGGCAAUUUUUCAAUUUUUGGGGUAAAAAUGUAAUUUUUCACUUUUACGGGGGUAAAAGUGUAAAUUUCAAAAAUUACUCCACCAAUACUUUGGAUAAGUCUGAGAAAUUUAUCUAAGCUAUGGAUAUGUGGGACAAGCGUAUGGUGAAAAUUUGGAAACAAAUGGAUGAAAUUUUAAAAACAGGCCAAUGGGAAAGUGACGCAUGGCACUUUUUAUUGAUUUAAUAUUAUUUUAAUGAAAAGUCAGCCCAUUUAAACCCCAUAUAAAGUGCUGGUAGGCCAUAAGGAAAGAACAAGAGAGAAAAUAGAGAGGAAAGGAAGAAAAGAAAAAAACAAAGGAAAACUAGAAAAUUCAAAGGGGAAAUCGCGUUUUUCGUUCGUUUACGCUUCUAACGGUAAGAUUUUUCGAUUCUAGCUUGAUUUCUACCUUUCCUAUGCCUUUAUUUCCUUUAAGCAUGCUUGAGGAGAGAGAUCAAAAAGUGAAACCAAGGGCUGGCCGAAAUUCUAGGGGAGAGAUUUUGGAAUUUUUAGGUUUUGAUUUUUAGUUAAAUUGGUAGUUUUAGUUAGUUAAAUGUGUAUAGAAAUUAAAUUGGGCAAGAAAGCAUGAAAUUUUCACAAUACCCACCCUUGGCUGAAUAUGCAUUGAUGUACAAUGAUGAUGAACUGAUUUUUAUUCUAAGAGAAAUGAAGAGAAAAUGAUGAAAAAUGGUUAAAUGUGAUAGAAAAACAAAGUGAAAAAUUAACCGAGUAAAUGUCCCAUUUUUGACCGAAUUUUCCAAGGAGGAAAGUGAGCUGAUUUUGGUGAUUUUAGAAGGUUAUUGGCUGAUAUUUAAUGGUUAGAAAUGUUGGAGAGAAAAUGGGACAAUUUAGAGCUAAAAUGGAGCGCGUUAGCAAUUUAACGGGUAAAGUGCCAAAAAUAGGUUAAUACCGCGUUUAAGCCGUUUUAGGCUAUUGCAUUUCAUACCAUGCAUUAGUAUAGGAUUUAAGUCAAUUAUAUAGAGAUUUAACAUCAAUGUGGUGAAUUGGGUAAAUUUUGCAAUGUGUUUAGGAUGAGAGCCUUCCGGUAAAGGCAAGGAAGUCGUACUUGACGAACAGUGAUCGGGGCACUCAAAAAAUCAGUUAAUUUGUACAAACGGUGAGUAAACCUAUUAUUAUUGUAAAUUAUCUAGAGUUCAUUUUUAAAUACUCUUUAUGUAUUUUAUGAAAUGAAAACGAGAUUAAAACGAGAUUUUUGAUGUUUUAGAAAUAAAUGUGACAAAUAAAAAUAUAUUGUGUUGAUUACGAAAUUGAGUAAUUGGAGGUUGCCAAUUAUUUUGAAAUAUAUAUUUUCCUAUGAAUGGCUUAUGAAAUAUGAGUAUAUGUGGCUAUAUUUGAUAAAUUGCAUUGGGAAUUUAUGUAAGCUGUUUUUACUAUGCAGGCUGGGUAAAUAAAUAAAAGCCACGUUAUAUUGUCGAAAUUUUAUUAAAAUUGAUGGGUUUAGUCACUGCAGUGACGGGUUUCCGUGGACUGCCUAUUAGAGGGGCACGGUAAACUCGGUUACAUAAUUACUCCGGUUGUAGAGGCGAGGAGGGUAACUCUCGGGGUAGUAUUAGAGUUCACUUCACGUCGAACCCCCACGUGAAUGUGUAACUCGGCCAACGCCAAGGAACGGCUUGUUUUAAAAAUAAAAAUGUCUUUCAUAUGUAAAUAUCAUAACUACCUUGGCAGACUAGGUUAGAUGCCUCGACCAAGGUAUCCCCGAGGAUUAAUUUUGGCUUGAGCCUUGUUUUAAUAAAAGUCAUAAGCCUUAACAACUAUUUGGGUAAAUUAUAAAUAUUUUAUGGUUUAAGAAAUAAAUUAAAAACCUUAUGAAAUGGUUUGUGAUUUGUUGUUUAAACUUGCCUCCAUUUUACUUGCCUUUAGAAAUUUAUGAUAAUGUCUGUUUACUCAUUGGGAUUGCAAAAUCUCACCCACCUCCUUUCCAAACAUUUUAGGUCUGUGGUAGCUUCUAGAUACCCUAUUUUGUCGAGGAUUCCAGUUGACCACUCUAUCACACAGACAGUAGGUUACUAUCACCAACAAUUGGUGUAGUUAUGGGCCACUUGUCAUUGUAAUUAUUAUUGUACAUUAUAACUUUGUAAAUUAUUGUAUGUAUGAAUUUAUUUUACUUCUAAGUUACAAAAGAUUACUUACACCUGUUUCUAUAAAUAUUGUUUUAUAUAAAAAUACUAUAUUUUUGUCUUUGAUUUACUUGAGCCGGAAACGAUUGAAAAUUGUUUAAAACUGAUAUGUAAGCCUUGCGGGGUUCCGAUUGGUAUUUCGGGUAAUGAGUAUCAAUCGAGACGUCGCGGCGGUUGUCAUGGGCCCGAAGGAGGUUCCGGGUCGUGACACCCGAAAUAGUGAGUAACCUUAUAAUCAUUUUAAUUAUCUAAAGUAUGUUUUAACUUGGUUUUGGUGAAAUUUUAUGAAAAUGAGUUAAAUGGCUAAUUUUAGGUUUUGCAAACAAAAAUGGGUUUAAAUGAAAAGUUUUUAUAAAUUGUCUUGAAACGAAAUAACGAUUUUGAAACUAGAGUAAUUGGAGACCACCGGUAUGUUGUAAAUUUAUGAUUGGAAAUUAAUGGCUUAUGUUAUAUUGUUAUUAUGUUGGCAUGACUGGCUGGGCUGUGUUUUAUGAAUUGUAUGAAUUGUUUUAUUUUACCCUUGUAGGCUGGGUAGUAAAAUAUUAUCCCUGUCAUGCUGUCAAAAAUUUUAUUGUAUGGUGGGUUUAGCUUGCUGCAAUAGGCGGAUUCUAUGGACCAGCCUAUUAGAAGGGCACGGAAUCCGGAUAUAUAUAUGUACCUCGGUCUGAGAGGCGCAUAGGGUAUCUCCUGAGGUAUGGACAGAGUUCACGUCACGCCGAACCACCUCGUGAUGAUGAACUCCGUUAACACCAAGGAACGACUGUGUUUUUCAAACUAAUAAAUUGUUUACAUGUAUACGAAAUUUUUAACAGCCUUGGCGAACUCGGUUAGAUGCCUCGACCAAGGUAUCCUCGAGAAUGAUUUUGGCAGGAGCCAAGCUUUUAAGAUACUCAUAAGUCAUGUUGAAUAUUUAAAUGAAAUGAAUAUUUAUGUUAUGAAAUACAUAUUGAGAUGAAAUAUUUUAAUUGUCUCCUUUUACUCGACUUUAGAUAUUUCGGAUGAUGUUUGUUUACUCACUGGGAUUAUAAAAUCUCAUCACUCUCUUUUCCACCCAUUUCAGGUUCAGAUUAGGCUGUAGAUAGCUGAGUUCAUCGAGGACUACCCUUGGAUUUGCAUUCCUUCAAACUGUAGGUUCACAGUCCUCUUUACUUUUGGUUAUUCGGGGGCCCACUUGUUAUUGUAAAUUAAAUUAAAUACUCUAACUUACUGUAUUACAGUAUGUAUGAAUUUAUUUA
RNAcentral lists this long non-coding RNA (4726 nucleotides) under Theobroma cacao (cacao). RNAcentral describes it as "long non-coding RNA (TCAC_LNC004901)". Lineage: Eukaryota; Viridiplantae; Streptophyta; Magnoliopsida; Malvales; Malvaceae. The record is from RNAcentral.